Non-coding RNA from Cyclopterus lumpus (lumpfish), 634 nucleotides. The record is from the annotation of a RefSeq genome assembly. NCBI's taxonomy places the organism in Eukaryota, Metazoa, Chordata, Actinopteri, Perciformes, Cyclopteridae.
GAUGAGUUUGGUGAGUGUGUUUGUGUCAGAGUCAGAGAGCCGUGUCUCUACAUGAGAGGUUUUUGUACGGCGGCUCAAUGACUUUGUAUCACUGUGGUUGACGUUCGGUGGAGGAACCAGACUGGAUGUUGGAAUGGGCCGAGUCGGCCCCACCCUGACGGUGCUGCCCCCCUCCAGUGAGGAGCUGCAGCAGGGGAAGGCCACGCUCAUGUGCCUGGCCAACAAGGGCUUCCCCUCAGACUGGAGUCUGGCCUGGAAGGUGGACGGCAGCAGCAGCAGCAGCAGCAGCUGGGAGGAGAGCAGGAGCCCCGGGGUGCUGGAGAAGGACGGCCACUACAGCUGGAGCAGCACCCUGAGGCUCCCUGCAGACCAGUGGAGGAAGGUGGGCUCUGUGACCUGUGAGGCCACCCAGGGCUCCCAGACUCCGCUCUCAGAGACACUGAGGAGAGACCAGUGUUCCCAGUCCUGAGCUGCCUCACUGGGACUCUGCUACUGGUUUCAGUCUCACUCUGUAACUGUCUCUCUGGUUCUCUUUCUCUCUUGACAUGUUUCAACAUUAUCGUCUUCCUGCUUGUGUUGAUGGUUUCAACAUUUAAAAACAAUAAAGAUGUUAUCAUGUGUAUUAUAAAACUUA